CUUGCCCCCAUCAGCACGGGCAUCACCGGGCACAACCCGCGCUCCUCUGGUGACCCCUCAAGGCUUUGCAGCAUGAAAUCAGCAGCCGAAGGUGCUCGGGGCAGAGGGGGAGGAGGGCAAGGAGACGUCCCCAAAGUGCCCCCGCCGGCGCCGGUGCCACCCGCAGCCCCACGCCGCCUUUCCGUGACGUCGGCCCCUCCUCGCCGCGCGGUGCAGCUCCUUCGCUCGCCGCUUCCUGCCCCCGGCGGCGGCGCAACCACGGGCGAGGCGGCAGCAUUGCCCCACCGCCAGCGCCCCAGGCCCCACACGGACUCCGGUUCCCGCCCCGGGCUUCGGGGUCCCGGCUGGCGGAGGGACAUUGGCCCCAUGGAUGACGACCGCCCCCUCUUCAGCACCUUCAGACCCGAGGACAACGCAGCCAGCACCCAGCCGGGGCACGGCGCGACCCCGCUGCAGCCCCCGAGAGCGGAGCAGCCCCCGGAGCAACGAGAUGCUCAGGGCAGGGUAGGACGAGGGGCAGCAAAGGGUCCGGCCCCCCAGCUCCCCACCCCAGCACUCUCAGCCACCUGCAGGUACCGUGUCCUCACCCCAAAACCCCUGCAGGGACCGUCCAGCACCGCACACCGACCCGGCCCCUCUCCCACUCCCCAGGCACAGCCCCCACGUCUGCACACCGGGGCUGGGGGGGCUGGCAGCAGCCACCCACCGCCCCCCGGGGGGGGGCACGAAGGGGCACAGUGGGGCAGCGGAGCAUCCUCAGGCACCCUCUGCCCCGCGUCCCCCCGAGCCCCAGCCCCUGUCUGCUUCCUCCCAGGCGCCGCCGGGGUGGCCCCCGCCCGGGGGGGGCGCGCAGCCGGAGCUGGUGGCCCUGUGGGCGCGCACCAGGCUGUGGUUCGAGCAGACGCAGGCCAGGAGGCUGGGGGCCGAGGGCGAGCUCCCAGCCUGGUUCCACGGCUUCAUCAGCCGCAGGUGAGCAGGGGGUGACCCCGUCACAAGGCGGGGG
Molecule: long non-coding RNA, 1003 nt
Filed under: Anser brachyrhynchus (Pink-footed goose)
Lineage: Eukaryota; Metazoa; Chordata; Aves; Anseriformes; Anatidae
Description: lncRNA (ENSABRG00000020516.1)
Source: RNAcentral